AUUCCCCUAGUAACUGCGAGUGAAGCGGGAAAAGCUCAAAUUUAAAAUCUGGUGGCCUUUGUCCAUCCGAGUUGUAAUUUAGAGAAGCGUCUUCCGCGCUGGACCGUGCACAAGUCUCCUGGAAUGGAGCGUCAUAGAGGGUGAGAAUCCCGUCUUUGGCACGGACGCACCAGGGCUUUUGUGAUGCGCUCUCGAAGAGUCGAGUUGUUUGGGAAUGCAGCUCAAAAUGGGUGGUGAACUCCAUCUAAAGCUAAAUAUUGGCGAGAGACCGAUAGCGAACAAGUACCGUGAGGGAAAGAUGAAAAGCACUUUGGAAAGAGAGUGAAACAGUACGUGAAAUUGUUGAAAGGGAAACGCUUGAAGUCAGUCGCGUCGCCCGAGACUCAACCUUGCCUCGGCUUGGUGUACUUCUCGGCUGACGGGUCAGCAUCAAUUUUGCCCCUUGGAUAAUGGCGAGGGAAAUGUGACACCUUUAUAGGUGUGUUAUAGUCUCUAGUCGCAUGCAAGGGUCGGGAUUGAGGAACUCAGCACGCGCCUUUUGGGGCGUCGGGGCGUUUCGCCCACGAUACGUGCUUAGGAUGUUGGCGUAAUGGCUUUAAACGACCCGUCUUGAAACACGGACCAAGGAGUCUAACAUGCCCGCGAGUGUUCGGGUGGAAAACCCGUGCGCGCAAUGAAAGUGAAAGUUGGGACCUCUGUCGUGGAGGGCACCAACGCCCGGACCAGACCUUCUGUGACGGAUCUGCGGUAGAGCGUGUAUGUUAGGACCCGAAAGAUGGUGAACUAUGCCUGAAUAGGGUGAAGCCAGAGGAAACUCUGGUGGAGGCUCGUAGCGAUUCUGACGUGCAAAUCGAUCGUCAAAUUUGGGUAUA
RNAcentral lists this ribosomal RNA (872 nucleotides) under Russula persicina. RNAcentral describes it as "partial large subunit ribosomal RNA". It matches the Rfam family "Eukaryotic large subunit ribosomal RNA", at positions 74 to 919 of the family's 3401-position model. The record is from RNAcentral. Lineage: Eukaryota; Fungi; Basidiomycota; Agaricomycetes; Russulales; Russulaceae.